CGUACGAGUGCGUCGUGUGUGGCGCGGGGUACAUGCGCAAACAGUUGCUCUACCAGCACAUGAACAACAGCGGUCACUUAGCUGAAUCGAUCGUCGUAAAUCAGCCGAGAGUUACAAAACUAGGAGAAAACGCGUCACCACCAUCCGUUGUCGUCAAAA
Long non-coding RNA from Melitaea cinxia (Glanville fritillary), 159 nucleotides. RefSeq lists it as uncharacterized. Lineage: Eukaryota; Metazoa; Arthropoda; Insecta; Lepidoptera; Nymphalidae. The transcript is spliced from 3 exons. The record is from RefSeq and is a predicted model, not a curated record.